CGGUGGAUGAUGUGGUUUAAUUCGAUGCAACGCGAAAACCUUACCACCUUUGACAUGUACGGAAGCCUUUAGAGAUAGAGGCGUGCUCGAAAGAGAGCCGUAACACAGGUGCUGCAUGGCUGUCGUCAGCUCGUGUCGUGAGAUGUUGGGUUAAGUCCCGCAACGAGCGCAACCCUUGUCAUUAGUUGCUACAUUCAGUUGGGCACUCUAAUGAGACUGCCGGUGACAAGCCGGAGGAAGGUGGGGAUGACGUCAAGUCCUCAUGGCCCUUAUAGGUGGGGCUACACACGUCAUACAAUGGCUGGUACAAAGGGUUGCCAACCCGCGAGGGGGAGCUAAUCCCAUAAAGCCAGUCGUAGUCCGGAUCGUAGUCUGCAACUCGACUACGUGAAGUCGGAAUCGCUAGUAAUCGUGGAUCAGAAUGUCACGGUGAAUACGUUCCCGGGUCUU
RNAcentral lists this ribosomal RNA (450 nucleotides) under uncultured Rhodoferax sp. RNAcentral's name for it is "bacterial SSU rRNA". It matches the Rfam family "Bacterial small subunit ribosomal RNA", at positions 930 to 1382 of the family's 1533-position model. Lineage: Bacteria; Pseudomonadati; Pseudomonadota; Betaproteobacteria; Burkholderiales; Comamonadaceae. The record is from RNAcentral.